CUAGUACGAGAGGACCGGAGUGGACGCAUCACUGGUGUUCGGGUUGUCAUGCCAAUGGCACUGCCCGGUAGCUAAAUGCGGAAGAGAUAAGUGCUGAAAGCAUCUAAGCACGAAACUUGCCCCGAGAUGAGUUCUCCCUGAGACUUAGAGUCUCCUGAAGGAACGUUGAAGACGACGACGUUGAUAGGCCGGGUGUGUAAGCGCAGCGAUGCGUUGAGCUAACCGGUACUAAUGAACCGUGAGGCUUAACCUU
This 253-nucleotide ribosomal RNA is filed under the name Escherichia coli. RNAcentral describes it as "partial 23S ribosomal RNA". It matches the Rfam family "Bacterial large subunit ribosomal RNA", at positions 2678 to 2925 of the family's 2925-position model. The record is from RNAcentral. Lineage: Bacteria; Pseudomonadati; Pseudomonadota; Gammaproteobacteria; Enterobacterales; Enterobacteriaceae. RNAcentral also lists the same sequence under 2 other names.